AGUGAACGCUGGCGGUAGGCCUAACACAUGCAAGUCGAACGGCAGCACAGUAAGAGCUUGCUCUUACGGGUGGCGAGUGGCGGACGGGUGAGGAAUACAUCGGAAUCUACUUUUUCGUGGGGGAUUACGUAGGGAAACUUACGCUAAUACCGCAUACGACCUACGGGUGAAAGCAGGGGAUAUUCGGACCUUGCGCGAUUGAAUGAGCCGAUGUCGGAUUAGCUAGUUGGCGAGGUAAAGGCCCACCAAGGCGACGAUCCGUAGCUGGUCUGAGAGGAUGAUCGGCCACACUGGAACUGAGACACGGUCCAGACUCCUACGGGAGGCAGCAGUGGGGAAUAUUGGACAAUGGGCGCAAGCCUGAUCCAGCCAUACCGCGUGGGUGAAGAAGGCCUUCGGGUUGUAAAGCCCUUUUAUUAGGAAAGAAAAGCAGCAGGUUAAUACCCCGCUGUUCUGACGGUACCCAAAGAGUAAGCACCGGCUAACUUCGUG
Molecule: ribosomal RNA, 492 nt
Filed under: uncultured bacterium
Lineage: Bacteria
Description: partial 16S ribosomal RNA
Rfam family: Bacterial small subunit ribosomal RNA
Source: RNAcentral